UACGUAGGGGGCGAGCGUUGUCCGGAUUUAUUGGGCGUAAAGAGCGUGUAGGCGGCCAGGUAGGUCCGUUGUGAAAACUCGAGGCUCAACCUCGAGACGUCGGCGGAAACCCUCUGGCUAGAGUCCGGAAGAGGAUAGUGGAAUUCCUGGUGUAGCGGUGAAAUGCGCAGAUAUCAGGAGGAACACCGGUGGCGAAGGCGGGUCUCUGGGCCGGAACUGACGCUGAGGAGCGAAAGCGUGGGGAGCGAACAGG
This 253-nucleotide ribosomal RNA is filed under the name uncultured bacterium. RNAcentral describes it as "partial 16S ribosomal RNA". It matches the Rfam family "Bacterial small subunit ribosomal RNA", at positions 524 to 776 of the family's 1533-position model. The record is from RNAcentral.